AACGGACGCUGGCGGCAGGCCUAACACAUGCAAGUCGAACGCUCCGCAAGGGGAGUGGCGCACGGGUGAGUAACGCGUGGGAAUCUACCUAUUAGUAAGGAAUAACAGUUGGAAACGACUGCUAAUACCUUAUACGCCCUACGGGGGAAAGAUUUAUCGCUAAUAGAUGAGCCCGCGUAAGAUUAGCUAGUUGGUGAGGUAAUGGCUCACCAAGGCUACGAUCUUUAGCUGGUCUGAGAGGAUGAUCAGCCACACUGGAACUGAGACACGGUCCAGACUCCUACGGGAGGCAGCAGUGGGAAUAUUGGACAAUGGGCGAAAGCCUGAUCCAGCCAUGCCGCGUGAAUGAUGAAGGCCUUAGGGUUGUAAAGUUCUUUCGCCGCCGAGGAUAAUGACGGUAAGCGGAUAAGAAGCCCCGGCUAACUUCGUGCCAGCAGCCGCGGUAA
RNAcentral lists this ribosomal RNA (446 nucleotides) under uncultured bacterium. RNAcentral describes it as "partial 16S ribosomal RNA". It matches the Rfam family "Bacterial small subunit ribosomal RNA", at positions 29 to 523 of the family's 1533-position model. The record is from RNAcentral.